RNAcentral lists this ribosomal RNA (492 nucleotides) under uncultured bacterium. RNAcentral describes it as "partial 16S ribosomal RNA". It matches the Rfam family "Bacterial small subunit ribosomal RNA", at positions 29 to 507 of the family's 1533-position model. The record is from RNAcentral.
AGUGAACGCUGGCGGUAGGCCUAACACAUGCAAGUCGAACGGCAGCACAGUAAGAGCUUGCUCUUACGGGUGGCGAGUGGCGGACGGGUGAGGAAUACAUCGGAAUCUACUUUUUCGUGGGGGAUAACGUAGGGAAACUUACGCUAAUACCGCAUACGACCUACGGGUGAAAGCAGGGGAUCUUCGGACCUUGCGCGAUUGAAUGAGCCGAUGUCGGAUUAGCUAGUUGGCGGGGUAAAGGCCCACCACGGCGACGAUCCUUAGCUGGUCUGAGAGGAUGGUCGGCCACACUGGAACUGAGACACGGUCCAGACUCCGACGGGAGGCAGCAGGGGGGAAUAUUGGACAAUGGGCGCAAGCCUGAUCCAGCCAUACCGCGUGGGUGAAGAAGGCCUUCGGGUUGUAAAGCCCUUUUGUUGGGAAAGAAAAGCAGCAGGUUAAUACCCCGCUGUUCUGACGGUACCCAAAGAAUAAGCACCGGCUAACUUCGUG